CCUACGGGUGACAGCAGUGGGGGAUAUUGCACAAUGGGGGAAACCCUGAUGCAGCGACGCCGCGUGGGCGAAGAAGUAUUUCGGUAUGUAAAGCCCUAUCAGCAGGGAAGAAGAAAUGACGGUACCUGAGUAAGAAGCACCGGCUAAAUACGUGCCAGCAGCCGCGGGAAUACGUAUGGUACAAGCGUUAUCCGGAUUUACUGGGUGUAAAGGGAGCGCAGGCGGCACGGCAAGCCUGAUGGGAAAGCCCGGGGCCCAACCGCGGGACUGCAUUGGGAACUACCGGGCUGGAGUGCCGGAGAGGUAGGCGGAAUGCCUAGUGUAGCGGUGAAAUGCGUAGAUAUUAGGAGGAACACCAGUGGCGAAGGCGGCCUACUGGACGGUGACUGACGCUGAGGCUCGAAAGCGUGGGGAGCAAACAGGAUUAGAUACCCUGGUAGUC
Molecule: ribosomal RNA, 442 nt
Filed under: uncultured bacterium
Lineage: Bacteria
Description: partial 16S ribosomal RNA
Rfam family: Bacterial small subunit ribosomal RNA
Source: RNAcentral